GAUGAACGCUGGCGGCGUGCCUAAUACAUGCAAGUCGAGCGAACAGACGAGGAGCUUGCUCCUCUGACGUUAGCGGCGGACGGGUGAGUAACACGUGGAUAACCUACCUAUAAGACUGGGAUAACUUCGGGAAACCGGAGCUAAUACCGGAUAAUAUAUUGAACCGCAUGGUUCAAUAGUGAAAGACGGUUUUGCUGUCACUUAUAGAUGGAUCCGCGCCGCAUUAGCUAGUUGGUAAGGUAACGGCUUACCAAGGCAACGAUGAGUAGCCGACCUGAGAGGGUGUUCGGCCACACUGGAACUGAGACACGGUCCAGACUCCUACGGGAGGCAGCAGUAGGGAAUCUUCCGCAAUGGGCGAAAGCUUGACGGAGCAACGCCGCGUGAGUGAUGAAGGUCUUCGGAUCGUAAAACUCUGUUAUUAGGGAAGAACAAAUGUGUAAGUAACUAUGCACGUCUUGACGGUACCUAAUCAGAAAGCCACGGCUAACUACGUG
Molecule: ribosomal RNA, 497 nt
Filed under: uncultured bacterium
Lineage: Bacteria
Description: partial 16S ribosomal RNA
Rfam family: Bacterial small subunit ribosomal RNA
Source: RNAcentral